Molecule: long non-coding RNA, 1785 nt
Organism: Chelonia mydas (Green sea turtle)
Lineage: Eukaryota; Metazoa; Chordata; Testudines; Cheloniidae
Exons: 3
Source: RefSeq, a predicted model, not a curated record
AGAGAGUGUCUGCAGUCAAUCUCCAUGCACAGAAAGGCACCACCCAAGGAGAGCGAGCCACCAGGUGAAGGCCAAGAAGUGACCCUGGUGCUGAGGCCAGUACCCAAACAGGCUAUGCUGCUGGAGCAGCUAUAGCACAUUUUAGGUUUGUAAUCAAAGGAGCUGUUUGGGAAUGGCCUUGGGGAGCAGCCUGCUGCAGAACCAGCAUCAGAGCAAGCACAGGUGCCUAGGCAAACAGACAGCCUGGGGGAGUAGACCCACCUACUGCAAGCAAAGAGAAAGAGUCCAAGGUGAGCUGAUGGGAGAGUUGCGAGAUAAAAUGAAUUGGCAAAUAAGAGUUCCAGAAGGGCCAAAUGGACGAAAGGACAAUGAUGCAAGAAGGGCGGCGAGAGAGGCUGCACAGUGUGAGGAGAUAUUGGUAGAUGGAUUCAUGGAGCAUGACUGCCACGUGGGGGAGGAAACAGAGUGCAGUAGAAAGCUGUUUGAGCUAUUACCUGUGCUCAGGGUUACCGGACUGUGGGCUCUAGGGCAACCUUCAGCUCCUGCUCCCGCCCAAUGCCCUGAGUACCUUCCAUGCUAUCAUGUGCUGCAGACUAUGCAGCCUUUUGUCAAUUCAGAGGAUGGCUGGACUAUGUCACAGGCAAAGAUUACUAGCACGUGGAAUUAAAAAAAAGGUACCCUCUGCACUCAUUGACCCAGUCCAGCUGUGGCCUGUUCACUGGGUCCACUCACUGCUAGGGGAGCCUCCUCCUUGCCACACAGGGGAUCAGUCCUUUCUGGGUCCAGUGCCCCCUUUCGCUGCUUGCUGCACGACCUACCGUCUCUCUCCCACUCUCUGUGACUCAGGGUGCUCUGUCUUUGUGGCUUGGCCCUCUGGCCAGGUCACUAUGGUCCUGCCCUACAGGGGUAUCAAAGUCUUUCCUUACAAAUGGUCUCAGGGAGCCUUCUCAUUCACUGCCCUGACAGUGCCACUUCCCCAGUGGCUGUUAGGGGAAUCUAGGCCCUGUCUCCGUUCCAGUUUCCAGCUCAGGGUCCCUCUAAUCAGCAACCAUGGUCUGCACCAUCCUCAGCCUUGCUGCCUUUUCCCUGAAUCUUUCCUACACCUUCUGGCUCCCCCACUCUCUGGGUUUGCCAGCCCAAACUGCAGACUAAAUUCCAUAUCCCCAAACACACCUCCCUUCCCCCAGGCACUGACUACAGACCACUUCCCCGCAUUCUCUUUCUGCCAACAGCUCCCUGGCUUUAUAGAAGUCUUGCCUGUUUUCUCCAGCUGGGCUCCAUCAUUAAGGCUUUCCUGUCAGCCUACCUAUCCCCCUGCUUUCUUGCAACCUUAUAGGUUAAGUGGCCCCUCUGGCCUACAUUAACCCCUUCAGGGAGAGUAUGGGGAACACUCCUUAUCAUACCUGCACAUACAAAACACACAAGGAAGGCCAAGGGGAACAGAGGGGACUCCCAGGAAUAGCUGGACAUGUUAUUUGAGAACCUGAACCUUUCAUUAUUUUGGUACUGAGUUUGUUUAUUAAGCUCUGUUUUGAUGGAAACUGGUCUGUGCUUUGAGUUCUUAGGCUGGUAAGUAAAUACCUAUAUAAAAUACACGGUUGAUUUUACACAAGGCUAUAACAACAAGUUUUAUUAUUUGUAAUGUUAAAAGUGGCACCAACUGUAAAGAAUGUCAUCACAUGCCCUUCUCAAUAUUUUUCGUAAUAAAAAUGUAUACACUGUCAUCAUCAUAAUCCAUAAACUGAGUUUAUGGCCAGUAGUGAUCAGAUUUAUGAAGAUGUUAUC